Long non-coding RNA from Mauremys reevesii (Reeves's turtle), 397 nucleotides. RefSeq lists it as uncharacterized. The record is from RefSeq and is a predicted model, not a curated record. The transcript is spliced from 3 exons. NCBI's taxonomy places the organism in Eukaryota, Metazoa, Chordata, Testudines, Geoemydidae.
GGGGUACAUGUGUGAAACCCUCUCAGCUCUUAACAGGACUCACCAUGCAGAUCUGAUGGCUUUAAGGCCUGACUCAAUGCCCACUGAAGUCAGACAGAUUCCCAUUGACUUUAAUGGAUGCUGGAUCAUGCCCUUAGUUGGCAAGAGAUGCGUAUACGGAUAUCAGUAAAAUCAGAUGUUUUAUUUGAUAAGUGGGGAAGUCAGAACAGGAGGAUGAGAGGAAAGAGUGUCCAACAACUAGAAAGGAUUCUCAUGUUUAUAAGCUUGCUCACAGAUCUGUGGACCAGGAAAAGAAUCAUCUUCAUCAGGAAAAUGUGUUAAUAAUGUAUACACACAUUAUUAACUGAAGUUAUUUUCAUUUCUUGCCCUGGAGUCAUCAUUAGUGAAGAUUAAACAU